This 498-nucleotide ribosomal RNA is filed under the name uncultured bacterium. Its description in RNAcentral is "partial 16S ribosomal RNA". It matches the Rfam family "Bacterial small subunit ribosomal RNA", at positions 30 to 523 of the family's 1533-position model. The record is from RNAcentral.
AUUGAACGCUGGCGGCAUGCCUUACACAUGCAAGUCGAACGGUAACAGGUCUUCGGAUGCUGACGAGUGGCGAACGGGUGAGUAAUACAUCGGAACGUGCCUAGCAGUGGGGGAUAACUACUCGAAAGAGUGGCUAAUACCGCAUGUGAUCUACGGAUGAAAGCAGGGGAUCGCAAGACCUUGUGCUACUACAGCGGCCGAUGGCAGAUUGGGUAGUUGGUGGGAUAAAAGCUUACCGAGCCGACGAUCUGUAGCUGGUCUGAGAGGACGAUCAGCCACACUGGGACUGAGACAAGGCCCACACUCCUACGGGAGGCAGCAGUGGGGAAUUUUGGACAAUGGGCGAAAGCCUGAUCCAGCAAUGCCGCGUGCAGGAUGAAGGCCUUCGGGUUGUAAACUGCUUUUGUACGGAACGAAAAGCCCCGGGUUAAUACCCUGGGGUCAUGACGGUACCGUAAGAAUAAGCACCGGCUAACUACGUGCCAGCAGCCGCCGCAG